RNAcentral lists this transfer RNA (72 nucleotides) under Aspergillus ruber CBS 135680. RNAcentral describes it as "tRNA-Pro (TGG) (tRNA-Pro-TGG-1-1)". It matches the Rfam family "tRNA". From Rfam's summary of the family: Transfer RNA (tRNA) molecules are approximately 80 nucleotides in length. Their secondary structure includes four short double-helical elements and three loops (D, anti-codon, and T loops). Lineage: Eukaryota; Fungi; Ascomycota; Eurotiomycetes; Eurotiales; Aspergillaceae. The record is from RNAcentral. RNAcentral also lists the same sequence under 1 other name.
GGCUUAGUGGUCUAGUAGUAUGAUUCUCGCUUUGGGUGCGAGAGGUCCCGGGUUCAAUUCCCGGCUGAGCCC